GGUGACAUAGCCAAGUGGUAAGGCAUGGGUCUGCAAAACCCUGAUUCCCCGGUUCAAAUCCGGGUGUCACCUCCA
Molecule: transfer RNA, 75 nt
Filed under: Clostridium sp. CAG:1013
Lineage: Bacteria; Bacillati; Bacillota; Clostridia; Eubacteriales; Clostridiaceae
Also listed under: 9 other names
Description: transfer RNA-Cys(GCA)
Rfam family: tRNA
About the family: Transfer RNA (tRNA) molecules are approximately 80 nucleotides in length. Their secondary structure includes four short double-helical elements and three loops (D, anti-codon, and T loops).
Source: RNAcentral